This 148-nucleotide non-coding RNA is filed under the name Gorilla gorilla gorilla (western lowland gorilla). Lineage: Eukaryota; Metazoa; Chordata; Mammalia; Primates; Hominidae. The record is from Rfam by way of RNAcentral.
GCUGGGCAUGGUGGUGUAUGCCUGUAAUCCCAGCUACUCAGGAAGCUGAAGCAGGAUAUUCGCUUGAACCCAGGAGGCUGAGGUUGCAGUGAGCCGAGAUCGUGCCACUGCACUCCAGCCUGGGCGACAGAGUGAGACCCCGUCUCAA